UACGUAGGGAGCAAGCGUUGUCCGGAUUCACUGGGUGUAAAGGGUGCGCAGGCGGAUUUGUAAGUCAGAGGUGAAAUCUCACGGCUUAACCGUGAAACUGCCUUUGAUACUGCAGAUCUUGAGUUUGGGAGAGGUUGAUGGAAUUCCAGGUGUAGCGGUGAAAUGCGUAGAUAUAUUGAAGAACACCAAUAACGGCGAAGGCAGUUAACUAUUCUGUUACUGACGUUGAGGCACGAAAGCGUGGGGAGCAAACAGG
RNAcentral lists this ribosomal RNA (256 nucleotides) under uncultured bacterium. RNAcentral's name for it is "partial 16S ribosomal RNA". It matches the Rfam family "Bacterial small subunit ribosomal RNA", at positions 524 to 776 of the family's 1533-position model. The record is from RNAcentral.